UAGUCUGGCAGAAAACAAGAAUGGACCAAGCCAGGAGAUAAGUACAGGCUGGAUGUCUCUAAUGGUUCUCAGAAUGAAGUGAGGUGUCUAUGACAUCACAGGAUAGAUCCCUGCCCUAGUAACAACAGUGUUCUUAGACUGAAGAUAACCCAGAGUCCAGCAAGGAGAGCUUGGAUUCACAUCAAGCACACUCUGUCUGCCCAGGUUUGGGCUGUUUUCUGGAAUGAAUACUACUCAAAAUUCAACCUAAAUGCUGAAAAUAAAGCAAAAUUAACAUUAAAAGUAGCUUUCUACAAACAUGGAACAGAAAAAGAUCUACCACAACCAUGAGGAAAAACAGGUACCCUGUCCCUGAAGAUGCCAGAGCCUUAACAAGAGGAGAUAUGAACCUGGGCAAUUCCAUUAUCCUGAAGAAGCCCAGGUCCAAAGAAAGAAGAGAGGUGGGCCUGGGAUAGUCCCUAACCUUGAAGCAUACAGGGCCCAAACCAAAAGGUGUGUGGAUCUCAGCCAAUCCCUGACCCUGAAGAGGCCUAGGUGCAAAGAAAGAUGUGAUAUGGGCCUGGGCCUAUCGCUAAACCUGAAGCAGCCUGGGCCUAAAGAAGAGUGGACCUGGGCUAAUGCCUGUCCCUGAAAAAGCUUAAGCCCAAAGCAAAUAGUGGUAUGUACCUGGGUCUAUCCCUCACUCCGAAGAGGCUCAGGCACACAGAAUAAGAAAUGUAGGUCUGGGCCAAUCCAGGAUCCUUAAAACGCUUGGACCCAAACAAUUGGAGAUAUGAGCCUUGACCCUGAAGAGGCUUGGGCCCAAAGCACACUGAGCCAGUGGCCUGGGCCAAUCCUUCACCCUGAGAAAUACUGGUUUCCAAGAAAGAAGUAAUGUGGAUCUAGUUCUCUACCUAACCCUGAAGAGACCUAGACCAAGAACAAUAAGUGAUCUGGGCCUUGGCCUGGGUUUAUCCCUAACAUGAAGAGGCCUGGGCCUACAGAAGAAAUGUGGACCUGAGCUAAUCCUUGACCCAAAAAAGCCCAGGUCCAAAGCAAAAAGUGUUUUGGGCCUGGGCCAAAAACCUACCCUAAAGAGGCAUUGUACCCAAAAAAAGGAAAUGUGUGGACCUGGGCCAAUCCCUUACCCAUUAAGUGCUUGGGUCCAAGAAUAAAAAAUUUGGUCCUGUGCUACUCCUUCAAAUGAAAGGAGUUGGCCAAACCAAUAAAAUAUGUGCCUAGGGCUCAUUCUGACAGUGAGGAUAUUGAGACUCAAACUCUAAUGUGAAAUUAGCCAAGAUUAGCUGUCACCCAAAGAGACCUGAACCCAAACAAAAGUGUGUGCCUCAGUCAAACCUAAAGUGAAGCAACAUUGUGGACAGAGCAUGUACUCUGAUCCAAGGACAUAAUUUCAAUUGUUAUUUUAAAACCAACCAAACCAUCAAUGAGGACAUAUCCUAGCUUGUUUCUUGAUACUCUUGGACUUACUUACAACACUUCCUAUACUGUUGCCACAAAGAAAACGGCCACAGGAUACCCCUAAUUGAGUUAAGUGCUCACAUUAAUGACCAAAUGAAAUGGCCAUACAUAUAAAAAUUGAUUCGACUGUAUCUGUCCCUAUUUAGGUUCAGUAUAUAUUGUCCCUAGGCCAAACAUGGAAUCAUAUAGAAGUCAUCCAUGACUGACUACCAUGUGAUAGCAAUGCAAGCUGGAGGCUCCCUGAACACCUAGCACCUGGGUCAAGCUUCAAGUAUGCUUGGGCUACAACUUCACUUUUCCCAGCACAGGCUACAUUCUCAGUUCAGAAGAGCCAGGCAAAACAAAUCCUUCAUGGAGUCUGACCAGCAAAUGACCAUCAAACAAUAUGGGCAGACUUUGUAAUCAUGUGUGUGGGUGCUCUGCUCUCUAUUCAAGUCUGACUACCUGCUAUUUAGACUUCACAUAAUUCAGGAAAUGUUGAAGGGUGUGAAGUGUGGGUAAGUCCAGACCAAUCCGUUCAACAAAACAGAACCAUUGUACUGAUAAGGUUUGGUGUUUUAAUCAUAGAGAUCUAUUAUAUAACCUCAAGAAUUAUGGACUACACCCUCCUUUAACACAACCCAGGAAACAUUCUCAAAUCAGGAAGUGAAGACCACUUCAUAAUCAUCAUAUAAUCUGGACCAGAUUUGAAUAUCAAAUAACAUGGGCAUAUUCUGGUAUCAAGGUUGUGUGGGCCACACCCAGGAAUCCCCUGUGUCCUGAUCUUAUGUUGAAUACCAUAAAUCAAAGACAACUGAUCUCAAGUGUGAUCUGGGUCACACACUACUUUCGGAAGCGUGAAUUCCCUUUAAAACUAUGGAAUUUUCUGAAGACUUAAAUAAGGGCAAAGAUCAUAAAGUGAUGGCAGUUGGAUUCUGUCAGUCCCCUAACUAUUGAGUACUAUGGGUGCAGCCCAAAUUCAAGGGUGUGUGGGCCACACACUCUUCAUAUGACCCAGUACUACAUUCAGAUCAAGAGAGCCAGGUCCAUACAACAUAGCCCUCAAUGGGACAGGGACUCUCCUUAAUGACCAAAUCACAUGGCCAUGCUCUAAUGAUUAAAUAACACAUGGAAUAAUUGAGACCACCUGAUUUUCCCCCAAGGCAAUACUCUGUUGAUCAAAGACAAAACUUUUAGAUGCAUAAACAAGUCUUCGUAAAUUGAUGCCUGACAUCCAAUUAGUAUCGUGUAAGCUGGGAGCUGCAUACCAAGAAGCCUGUGUCAAAUUUAACUUCAAGCAUCGUGGGUAACACCAUUCAUCGAACACUGGAGAUAUGAUCAACUCAGAGGCAUUUGUGACAUCUGGGCCACAGCAGAGAUAGAUCCUGGCAGACUUUGGCUUGAUGCACAUGUGGGCCACACUUAGAAGCCAUUAUGUACCAAGAUGCUAUUUUCAGAAGAUACAGGACAAUAUGUUUUCCAGUAUGAGUUAUCAAACAGCAAGUUUUCAGAGAAAAUUAGGACCAUUACAACAACCAACACUUAUUGUCUGAUAUGUGACAUCACCUUCAUAAAUCUCAAGACUAUGGUGGAAUCCCUCUUAUCCUGACAUCUCAGUUUCCCUAACCGUUUUCUCUUGACCUUGGCUCUCAAUCUGACCUGAUUAUAAACAUCAAGAACCCAUUGGAUAAAGAAUGUGAUAACCCAGGAGUACAGACACAAUUUAAAUACAAAACUAUAAUUAAAAAAACCCUGUUAUACCUUC
This is a long non-coding RNA of Rattus norvegicus (Norway rat), 3202 nucleotides long. RefSeq lists it as uncharacterized. NCBI's taxonomy places the organism in Eukaryota, Metazoa, Chordata, Mammalia, Rodentia, Muridae. The record is from RefSeq and is a predicted model, not a curated record.